Denticeps clupeoides (denticle herring) is the source of this 114-nucleotide ribosomal RNA. The record is from Ensembl. NCBI's taxonomy places the organism in Eukaryota, Metazoa, Chordata, Actinopteri, Clupeiformes, Denticipitidae.
GCUUACGGCCAUACCAGCCCACGCCCGGUCUCGUCUGAUCUCGGAAGCUAAGAAGGCUUGGCCUGGUUAGUACUUGGAUGGGAGACCUCCUGGGAAUACCAGGUGCUGUAAGCU